Molecule: transfer RNA, 71 nt
Filed under: Abditibacteriota bacterium
Lineage: Bacteria; Pseudomonadati; Abditibacteriota
Description: tRNA-Gln(ttg)
Rfam family: tRNA
About the family: Transfer RNA (tRNA) molecules are approximately 80 nucleotides in length. Their secondary structure includes four short double-helical elements and three loops (D, anti-codon, and T loops).
Source: RNAcentral
UGCCCGAUGGUCAAGUGGUAUGACGGAAGACUUUGGAUCUUCAAUCCCUCGUUCGAGCCGGGGUCGGGCAA